GACGAACGCUGGCGGCGUGCCUAAUACAUGCAAGUUGAGCGCUGAAGGUUGGUACUUGUACCAACUGGAUGAGCAGCGAACGGGUGAGUAACGCGUGGGGAAUCUGCCUUUGAGCGGGGGACAACAUUUGGAAACGAAUGCUAAUACCGCAUAAAAACUUUAAACACAAGUUUUAAGUUUGAAAGAUGCAAUUGCAUCACUCAAAGAUGAUCCCGCGUUGUAUUAGCUAGUUGGUGAGGUAAAGGCUCACCAAGGCGAUGAUACAUAGCCGACCUGAGAGGGUGAUCGGCCACAUUGGGACUGAGACACGGCCCAAACUCCUACGGGAGGCAGCAGUACGGAAUCUUCGGCAAUGGACGAAAGUCUGACCGAGCAACGCCGCGUGAGUGAAGAAGGUUUUCGGAUCGUAAAACUCUGUUGGUAGAGAAGAACGUUGGUGAGAGUGGAAAGCUCAUCAAGUGACGGUAACUACCCAGAAAGGGACGGCUAACUACGUG
This 497-nucleotide ribosomal RNA is filed under the name uncultured bacterium. RNAcentral describes it as "partial 16S ribosomal RNA". It matches the Rfam family "Bacterial small subunit ribosomal RNA", at positions 28 to 507 of the family's 1533-position model. The record is from RNAcentral.